UGGUAAUGCCGGAUGCUCCAGUUGAUCGCAUGGUUUUCUGGGAAAGCUUUCGCGGUAUGGGAUGGGGUCGCGUCCUAUCAGCUUGACGGCGGGGUAACGGCCCACCGUGGCUUCGACGGGUAGCCGGCCUGAGAGGGCGACCGGCCACAUUGGGACUGAGAUACGGCCCAGACUCCUACGGGAGGCAGCAGUGGGGAAUAUUGCACAAUGGGCGCAAGCCUGAUGCAGCGACGCCGCGUGAGGGAUGGAGGCCUUCGGGUUGUAAACCUCUUUUAUCGGGGAGCAAGCGAGAGUGAGUUUACCCGUUGAAUAAGCACCGGCUAACUACGUGCCAGCAGCCGCGGUAAUACGUAGGGUGCAAGCGUUAUCCGGAAUUAUUGGGCGUAAAGGGCUCGUAGGCGGUUCGUCGCGUCCGGUGUGAAAGUCCAUCGCUUAACGGUGGAUCCGCGCCGGGUACGGGCGGGCUUGAGUGCGGUAGGGGAGACUGGAAUUCCCGGUGUAACGGUGGAAUGUGUAGAUAUCGAAAAGAG
This 530-nucleotide ribosomal RNA is filed under the name Bifidobacterium longum subsp. suillum. RNAcentral's name for it is "bacterial SSU rRNA". It matches the Rfam family "Bacterial small subunit ribosomal RNA", at positions 161 to 706 of the family's 1533-position model. The record is from RNAcentral. Lineage: Bacteria; Bacillati; Actinomycetota; Actinomycetes; Bifidobacteriales; Bifidobacteriaceae.